GCGAGGCGAUAGACGAUCCGUUCAAUAUUGUUUGUAUGAAACUCCCCACUGCAACGCACACUAAGCGGAACCGUAACGUAAUCGCCUCGCCUCGGAACAGGCUACGCGUGGUCAACUAGC
This is a long non-coding RNA of Aricia agestis (brown argus), 120 nucleotides long. RefSeq lists it as uncharacterized. The transcript has 3 exons. The record is from RefSeq and is a predicted model, not a curated record. NCBI's taxonomy places the organism in Eukaryota, Metazoa, Arthropoda, Insecta, Lepidoptera, Lycaenidae.